GCCUCUUGUCCACCCGGUAUUAAGUAGUUGCGCCGAAGGUGAUGUUUUUGAAAUCUCCUCGGUCUGGCUGCUUUAUACCGCAUGGAUGAAAAUC
Non-coding RNA from Tribolium castaneum (red flour beetle), 94 nucleotides. NCBI's taxonomy places the organism in Eukaryota, Metazoa, Arthropoda, Insecta, Coleoptera, Tenebrionidae. The record is from RefSeq and is marked provisional.